Molecule: ribosomal RNA, 366 nt
Filed under: Triticum aestivum (bread wheat)
Lineage: Eukaryota; Viridiplantae; Streptophyta; Magnoliopsida; Poales; Poaceae
Description: partial small subunit ribosomal RNA
Source: RNAcentral
AUGAACUUUAUUGCAGAGUUGGGUCAGAUUAAUCAGCGCCAUGAACAUUAUACUCCUGCAAGAGAUGUUGGGCUUAAUCCAACAGUGAAUAAGUGGAUUUCUCCACCUCCUGAUAAGGUGAAAAUUAAUAUAGAGGCGGCAGUUUGUCCACAUGGAAAUUUCGGUACCGCAGCUGCAGUUUGCAGAAGCGAGCAAGGCGAGUUUUUGGGAACUUUAGUUUCUGUUAUAUAUGGUCUUUCGGAUCCAUCUUCUCUUAAAGCAGUGGCUUGUCGAGAUGCUCUUUCUCUGGCAGAAGAUCUUGGACUACAGCAGCUUCAUAUUGCAUGGGAUUACAAGAAUCUCAUUAAACACAUACACGAAUCAUGA